Molecule: ribosomal RNA, 252 nt
Filed under: uncultured bacterium
Lineage: Bacteria
Description: partial 16S ribosomal RNA
Rfam family: Bacterial small subunit ribosomal RNA
Source: RNAcentral
UACGGAGGAUGCGAGCGUUAUCCGGAAUUACUGGGCGUAAAGGGUGCGUAGGUGGUUUCUUAAGUCAGAGGUGAAAGGCUACGGCUCAACCGUAGUAAGCCUUUGAAACUGGGAAACUUGAGUGCAGGAGAGGAGAGUGGAAUUCCUAGUGUAGCGGUGAAAUGCGUAGAUAUUAGGAGGAACACCAGUUGCGAAGGCGGCUCUCUGGACUGUAACUGACACUGAGGCACGAAAGCGUGGGGAGCAAACAGG